UUUUUUCUUUUUUUUUUUUUUUUUCUGUCUUUAUAGCAUCAAGAGCAGAAUGUGCCCCUGACAACUCAGCCACAGGGCAGGUGAGGCCAGCUCCAAUUGGCCUGGAUCCGCCAGUGUGCAGUUAAAGGAAAAGCUUCUCCUUAGGAUACAGUUUCAACCAAAGGAUGGUAUCAAUUCUGAUUUUUUAGAAAAAUUUUACUACAAGCCAAACUUAAAAAAAAAAUUAAGAUACCCUAAUCUCUAUCAGAACACAACCAGGGUUAACUAGUAGUGAGCUUCCAGUAACUGGGAGUGUACAAGUUAAGGCAAGUGGACAGCAGGAGGGAGCUGGCAUGGCUGAGUUUGUCCCAGGAGGCCUCUGAGCUGCUUCCAACAGGGCAUCUUCACAACCACAAUGGGCUGGCAGGGCCACCCUCAAACACUCUCUGGGUAUCUGCCAGGACUUCCCUUUGCUUGUGCCAGGAUGUUAGCCCUGCUUUCGGCCUCUCAUGAGUGCUCCUAAUAACUAAUAACUCCUGAGAACCAUCAAAAUGCCGAUGCCCUCUGACCCAGAAAUCCUAUUCCUUAAGAAUAAUCUGAGAUACAUCAUUGCCCAAAGGGGGAAAUAUUGUACACAAACAAAAAUGCUCACCACAACGGCAGGAAGGGACUGGUUCACCUAUCAUGGUCCAUCCGCUUGCAGGAAUGUGAAGAAGCAACACAAAAUGAAACUCGGUAACACCACAAAGCAAGGGGCUGACUUUACUCAAUAAGAAAGCUGAGGAAUGGUCAUGUUAUAUGAUUUAUUCAUUCAAUUAUUCAUUCAUGUAGCCACUCAUUCACUCACUCAUUGAUUCAAUGAACCUCAUGCUGGCCUCAGGCAAAGUGCAAAGAGAUGUCAGUCUGGUCACCUGGCCUUGGGCUGGACGUCUCGGACACCAGCUCUUCCCCUCAACACACACGCCCACACAGACACACAUAUGCACAGACACACACAUGUACACACAGAACCACAGGGGCACACACAAAUGCUGGAUCCUAGGUGGGAAGAGUGACAGGUCAAUCCCUCUGUGUCCUGGUACCUCAUGAGACCUAUGUUUGAGACCCAGUUCUGUCUCAAAAUGCAGAUCUGGCAGGUCAUUCCCACUUUGCAGAACUCUCUGUUCCCUGGUCUGCGAAAUAGGAGAAUGACACUUUUCCCAUCUUACUAGGGCUUGGUCUUCCUCGAUUUUGCAGUUAUCUUUUUCUGGUAACCUGAUAAAUACGUCUUGAAUUCUUGAAUAGGGGGUUGGCUAAAAAAAAAUCCUCAGGGAACUUUCCUACCCUAAAACAUUUCUGUGGGCCUUUCUCAUUUUCUGGUCUUCUUCGGAAGGCCUGCGUCAUUCCCGGCAUGUGCGAAAAGGCCUCUGUUGAAACAAAAAUGAGCUUUGAAUCCCACUUCCUCUUUAUUCCCUCUGCCUAUUCCCAGGUAAAUCAUUCAAACUCUGAUCUUUCAUUUCCUUGUUUCUAAAACUGAGAUAUGAAUGACACACACCUAUUCCAUGGUCCUGGCCCAUAGUAACCACACCACCUGUGUUGACCUCUAUCAAAAACAUCAUAAGCACCUUCGAAGGAAGAGAGGGAUGCAGGAGGGAACUAGCAGACUCUUAAGGCUGGAAGGGAAGCGUUUGGUAAUUGCAGUA
Molecule: long non-coding RNA, 1661 nt
Organism: Macaca fascicularis (crab-eating macaque)
Lineage: Eukaryota; Metazoa; Chordata; Mammalia; Primates; Cercopithecidae
Source: Ensembl